RNAcentral lists this long non-coding RNA (263 nucleotides) under Portunus trituberculatus (swimming crab). RNAcentral describes it as "uncharacterized LOC123511557, transcript variant X1". The record is from RNAcentral. Lineage: Eukaryota; Metazoa; Arthropoda; Malacostraca; Decapoda; Portunidae.
CGAGUGGCGACUGUGCUGAGUGUGAGAUGAGCUCUCCCUUGUGCGUGUGUGUGUGUGUGUCAAUUAACCAUUAUUUAAACGUAAUUUCCAGCGUAACCUCCUGAAGGCAACUCCCUUUACUGCUGUCAGAAGGUGCACCAUGGCUUGCCACAAUGUCACAAUGGGUCCUUGGAGAGCCGCACAAAUACUCCACUCACCUAGUUCCAGAGGGAGAGGAUCACCAGCCACCACCGGCCAUACUAAAGGAAGUGGCUCUAUGUAGG